UUAAUUGAGAGUUUGAUCCUGGCUCAGGAUAAACGCUGGCGGCGUGCAUAACACAUGCAAGUCGAACGAUGAAGCUUAGAUGAUUUCUUCGGAAUGAACUU
Molecule: ribosomal RNA, 101 nt
Filed under: Anaerococcus sp.
Lineage: Bacteria; Bacillati; Bacillota; Tissierellia; Tissierellales; Peptoniphilaceae
Description: partial 16S ribosomal RNA
Rfam family: Bacterial small subunit ribosomal RNA
Source: RNAcentral